GGCGCACGGGUGCGUAACACGUAUGCAACCUACCCUUUACAGGGGGAUAGCUCAGAGAAAUCUGAAUUAAUACCCCAUAGUUACAUUUUGCUGCAUGGUAAGAUGUAUAAGGCUCCGGCGGUAAAGGAUGGGCAUGCGUUACAUUAGCUAGUUGGUGAGGUAAUGGCUCACCAAGGCUACGAUGUAUAGGGGUUCUGAGAGGAUGAUCCCCCACACUGGUACUGAGACACGGACCAGACUCCUACGGGAGGCAGCAGUAGGGAAUAUUGGACAAUGGACGCAAGUCUGAUCCAGCCAUGCCGCGUGCAGGAUGACAGCCCUCUGGGUUGUAAACUGCUUUUAUAUGAGAAGAAACCCUCAGAUGCGUUUGAGGCUGACGGUAUCAUAUGAAUAAGGAUCGGCUAACUUCGUGCCAGCAGCCGCGGUAAGACGAAGGAUCCAAGCGUUGUCCGGAUUUACUGGGUUUAAAGGAUGC
This 475-nucleotide ribosomal RNA is filed under the name uncultured Bacteroidota bacterium. RNAcentral's name for it is "bacterial SSU rRNA". It matches the Rfam family "Bacterial small subunit ribosomal RNA", at positions 97 to 570 of the family's 1533-position model. The record is from RNAcentral. Lineage: Bacteria; Pseudomonadati; Bacteroidota.